ACGGAAGGCAGCAGUGGGGAAUAUUGCGCAAUGGGGGGAACCCUGACGCAGCAACGCCGCGUGAAGGAAGAAGGCUUUCGGGUCGUAAACUUUUGUCUUAUGGGACGAAUAAUGACGGUACCAUAGGAGGAAGCCACGGCUAACUACGUGCCAGCAGCCGCGGUAAUACGUAGGUGGCAAGCGUUGUCCGGAAUUACUGGGUGUAAAGGGCGCGUAGACGGGCAAGCAAGUCAGAUGUGAAAUACCGGGGCUUAACUCCGGGGCUGCAUUUGAAACUGUUAGUCUUGAGUGCAGGAGAGGGAAGCGGAAUUCCUAGUGUAGCGGUAAAAUGCGUAGAUAUUAGGAGGAACACCAGUGGCGAAGGCGGCUUUCUGGACUGUAACUGACGUUGAGGCGCGAAAGCGUGGGUAGCAAACAGGAUUAGAUACCCUGGUA
Molecule: ribosomal RNA, 435 nt
Filed under: uncultured Oscillospiraceae bacterium
Lineage: Bacteria; Bacillati; Bacillota; Clostridia; Eubacteriales; Oscillospiraceae
Description: bacterial SSU rRNA
Rfam family: Bacterial small subunit ribosomal RNA
Source: RNAcentral